UAUCUCUUAGGUUGGCCACGAGUUGUGC
RNAcentral lists this small RNA (28 nucleotides) under Bombyx mori (domestic silkworm). RNAcentral describes it as "ovarian small RNA-23769". The record is from RNAcentral. Lineage: Eukaryota; Metazoa; Arthropoda; Insecta; Lepidoptera; Bombycidae.